Ziziphus jujuba (common jujube) is the source of this 943-nucleotide long non-coding RNA. RefSeq lists it as uncharacterized. The record is from RefSeq and is a predicted model, not a curated record. Lineage: Eukaryota; Viridiplantae; Streptophyta; Magnoliopsida; Rosales; Rhamnaceae. The transcript has 2 exons.
UCUUUCCUUCUUCAUAUUUCUCUUCAGUAAUUGAAUAUUCAACUUCUCUCCUGUAGGAUGGUUUGCACAGAUAUGGACACUGCAGCUCCAAAACUGUGGCACCAAUUCCGAUCCUGCUUCUUAUUUUUCUGGCCUUGUGGAUUAGGUUCUUCAUUUUGGAGAGGAACGACUGAUGGAGAAACUCAAAAUUGAAAUCAAAUGCAUAUAAGUAUGACGCAAGACGUCCCAUACCACUAUCUCUUCCCCACAACAAAAAGAAAAUAAAACUUCCCAUGGAAGGUUAUCGACUAUCACUGCCCGACAGCAAACUCUUUGUUCAUGUGAACCAGCUCUUAGCAACUUUCUAACAUCAGGUAUGUUUCUCUCCUGAGGUGAAAAGAAAUGUACUUUGAAUUUUCUGUCUAGUAAUUGCAGUAGGUAGCUAUGCGCUGCAUCCACUUCUUUAAAAUCAAAAUUCCAGCUUGCCUACAAAUCAGCAAGCAUUUAAUAAAUUUAAUUACACACAGACAAAUAAUAAAUUGGUUAAAAACAGUAGGUUGAGGUAUUUCACCCUUUCAUCUGCAGGAUAUCAUGGGGUCUUGCUGGUAUUAGAUGCCAACGGACAGCUUGGUCAUAGUAUUUUAGAAGCAUCUGUAUGUAUAUAGAUUCAGUAAUGUGGCUGUCAACCAAGGCUUCCAGGGUCUCUUCCCUCUUUCCAAAUACAUAACCUUUAGUGCAAAUUUUAUGUCCGAGGCUGAGUUCUUCAAUAGCUUGCUUCAUGAUUCUGUCACAUUUUGUUGUAACGGCUUUGGGUUUUUGUCCUUGCAUCAUUUCCAUCCAUGUCUUGAAAAGCCACAUGUAAGCCGACUUGCUUGGAUUAUGCAGUAGUGCAUUGAUGAAUGUAUAAAGAUCAACUUUCUUAGAAGUAUAAUACUAACACAGUAUAUGUGAAUUCUUCUUCUUU